AUUUCUCGGCCUUUUGGCUAAGAUCAAGUGUAGUAUCCUACUCCUUUUACAUUCUUGCUGUUAUUUUUAGGAAGCCUUUAUUUUUAUACACAUUAAGGUCAGUGAGAGAGAGUGAGCUGUUGCACUAGUUAAAGGCACUAGGCUAG
Molecule: small nuclear RNA, 146 nt
Filed under: Ophiophagus hannah (king cobra)
Lineage: Eukaryota; Metazoa; Chordata; Lepidosauria; Squamata; Elapidae
Description: U2 spliceosomal RNA
Rfam family: U2 spliceosomal RNA
About the family: U2 is a small nuclear RNA (snRNA) component of the spliceosome (involved in pre-mRNA splicing). Complementary binding between U2 snRNA (in an area lying towards the 5' end but 3' to hairpin I) and the branchpoint sequence (BPS) of the intron results the bulging out of an unpaired adenosine, on the BPS, which initiates a nucleophilic attack at the intronic 5' splice site, thus starting the first of two transesterification reactions that mediate splicing.
Source: Rfam by way of RNAcentral